UGUCAAACCAAGACAACGCCAGGAGGGAGUUAGGUUCAACAGCCUGUCAAACCAAGACAACGCCAGGAGGGAGUUAGGUUCAACAGCCUGUCAAACCAAGACAACGCCAGGAAGGAGUUAGGUUCAACAGCCUGUCAAACCAAGACAACGCCAGGAAGGAGUUAGGGUCAACAGCCUGUCAAACCAAGAUAACGCCAGGAGGGAGUUAGGUUCAACAGCCUGUCAAACCAAGACAACGCCAGGAGGGAGUUAGGUUCAACAGCCUGUCAAACCAAGACAACGCCAGGAGGGAGUUAGGUUCGACAGCCUGUCAAACCAAGACAACUCCAUGAGGGAGUUAGGUUCAACAGCCUGUCAAACCAAGACAACACCAGGAGGGAGUUAGGUUCAACAGCCUGUCAAACCAAGACAACACCAGGAGGGAGUUAGGUUCAACAGCCUGUCAAACCAAGACAACUCCAUGAGGGAGUUAGGUUCAACAGCCUGUCAAACCAAGCUCAGAGCCAGGAGGGAGUUAGGUUCAACAGCCUGUCAAACCAAGACAACGCCAUGAGGGAGUUAGGUUCAACAGCCUGUCAAACCAAGACAACGCCAGGAGGGAGUUAGGUUCAACAGCCUGUCAAACCAAGCUUAGAGCCAGGAGGGAGUUAGGUUCAACAGCCUGUCAAACCAAGACAACACCAGGAGGGAGUUAGGUUCAACAGCCUGUCAAACCAAGCUUAGAGCCAGGAGGGAGUUAGGUUCAACAGCCUGUCAAACCAAGACAACACCAGGAGGGAGUUAGGUUCAACAGCCUGUCAAACCAAGACAACGCCAGGAGGGAGUUAGGUUCAACAGCCUGUCAAACCAAGAUAACGCCAGGAGGGAGUUAGGUUCAACAGCCUGUCAAACCAAGACAACGCCAGGAGGGAGUUAGGUUCAACAGCCUGUCAAAACAAGAUAACGCCAGGAGGGAGUUAGGUUCAACAGCCUGUCAAACCAAGACAACACCAGGAGGGAGUUAGGUUCAACAGCCUGUCAAACCAAGACAACGCCAGGAGGGAGUUAGGUUCAACAGCCUGUC
Non-coding RNA from Oncorhynchus mykiss (rainbow trout), 1063 nucleotides. The record is from RefSeq and is a predicted model, not a curated record. Lineage: Eukaryota; Metazoa; Chordata; Actinopteri; Salmoniformes; Salmonidae.